GCAGUCGAACGCAUGCCUUCGGGUGUGAGUGGCAGACGGGUGAGUAACGCGUGGGAAUCUACCUCUUGCUACGGGAUAGCUCCGGGAAACUGGAAUUAAUACCGUAUGUGCCCUUCGGGGGAAAGAUUCAUCGGCAAGGGAUGAGCCCGCGUUGGAUUAGCUAGUUGGUGGGGUAAAGGCCUACCAAGGCGACGAUCCAUAGCUGCUCUGAGAGGAUGAUCAGCCACAUUGGGACUGAGACACGGCCCAAACUCCUACGGGAGGCAGCAGUGGGGAAUAUUGGACAAUGGGCGCAAGCCUGAUCCAGCCAUGCCGCGUGAGUGAUGAAGGUCUUAGGAUUGUAAAGCUCUUUCACCGGGGACGAUAAUGACGGUACCCGGAGAAGAAGCGCCGGCUAACUUCGUGCCAGCAGCCGCGGUAAUACGAAGGGGGCUAGCGUUGUUCGGAAUUACUGGGCGUAAAGCGCACGUAGGCGGAUAUUUAAGUCAGGGGUGAAAUCCCGGGGCUCAACCCCGGAACUGCCUUUGAUACUGGAGUAUCUUGAGUGUGGUAGAGGUGAGUGGAAUUGCGAGUGUAGAGGUGAAAUUCGUAGAUAUUCGCAGGAACACCAGUGGCGAAGGCGGCUCACUGGACCACAAC
RNAcentral lists this ribosomal RNA (639 nucleotides) under Fulvimarina sp. L519. RNAcentral's name for it is "bacterial SSU rRNA". It matches the Rfam family "Bacterial small subunit ribosomal RNA", at positions 57 to 740 of the family's 1533-position model. Lineage: Bacteria; Pseudomonadati; Pseudomonadota; Alphaproteobacteria; Hyphomicrobiales; Aurantimonadaceae. The record is from RNAcentral.